Mytilus californianus (California mussel) is the source of this 170-nucleotide long non-coding RNA. RefSeq lists it as uncharacterized. The transcript has 2 exons. The record is from RefSeq and is a predicted model, not a curated record. Lineage: Eukaryota; Metazoa; Mollusca; Bivalvia; Mytilida; Mytilidae.
UAUCAAUUUAAGAUGUAGAUUCAAAUAUUGUUCACUUCAAACGAUAACGUUGGACAGUUGGGCUAUCAAGGAUAAUAUCUAGUUCAGAUCUAAGAAAAAAAGCAACUCUGUUACACUAAAACAAUUGACUAAUUAAAAUUGUCACAUGGUGUCUUCUUAUGUCGUCUGAA